GAUGAACGCUGGCGGCGUGCCUAAUACAUGCAAGUCGAGCGAACAGACGAGGAGCUUGCUCCUCUGACGUUAGCGGCGGACGGGUGAGUAACACGUGGAUAACCUACCUAUAAGACUGGGAUAACUUCGGGAAACCGGAGCUAAUACCGGAUAAUAUAUUGAACCGCAUGGUUCAAUAGUGAAAGACGGUUUUGCUGUCACUUAUAGAUGGAUCCGCGCCGCAUUAGCUAGUUGGUAAGGUAACGGCUUACCAAGGCAACGAUGCGUAGCCGACCUGAGAGGGUGAUCGGCCACACUGGAACUGAGACACGGUCCAGACUCCUACGGGAGGCAGCAGUAGGGAAUCUUCCGCAAUGGGCGAAAGCCUGACGGAGCAACGCCGCGUGAGUGAUGUAGGUCUUCGGAUCGUAAAACUCUGUUAUUAGGGAAGAACAAAUGUGUAAGUAACUAUUCACGUCUUGACGGUACCUAAUCAGAAAGCCACGGCUAACUACGU
This 496-nucleotide ribosomal RNA is filed under the name uncultured bacterium. Its description in RNAcentral is "partial 16S ribosomal RNA". It matches the Rfam family "Bacterial small subunit ribosomal RNA", at positions 28 to 506 of the family's 1533-position model. The record is from RNAcentral.